UACGGAGGGGGCUAGCGUUGUUCGGAAUUACUGGGCGUAAAGCGCGCGUAGGCGGUCCUGCAAGUCGGGGGUGAAAGCCCGAGGCUCAACCUCGGAACUGCCUUCGAUACUGCGGGUCUCGAGUCCGGGAGAGGUGAGUGGAAUUCCUAGUGUAGAGGUGAAAUUCGUAGAUAUUAGGAAGAACACCAGUGGCGAAGGCGGCUCACUGGCCCGGUACUGACGCUGAGGCGCGAAAGCGUGGGGAGCAAACGGG
Molecule: ribosomal RNA, 253 nt
Filed under: uncultured bacterium
Lineage: Bacteria
Description: partial 16S ribosomal RNA
Rfam family: Bacterial small subunit ribosomal RNA
Source: RNAcentral